This 492-nucleotide ribosomal RNA is filed under the name uncultured bacterium. RNAcentral's name for it is "partial 16S ribosomal RNA". It matches the Rfam family "Bacterial small subunit ribosomal RNA", at positions 29 to 507 of the family's 1533-position model. The record is from RNAcentral.
AGUGAACGCUGGCGGUAGGCCUAACACAUGCCAGUCGAACGGCAGCACAGUAAGAGUUUGCUCUUACGGGUGGCGAGUGGCGGACGGGUGAGGAAUACAUCGGAAUCUACUUUUUCGUGGGGGAUAACGUAGGGAAACUUACGCUAAUACCGCAUACGACCUACGGGUGAAAGCAGGGGAUCUUCGGACCUUGCGCGAUUGAAUGAGCCGAUGUCGGAUUAGCUAGUUGGCGGGGUAAAGGCCCACCAAGGCGACGAUCCGUAGCUGGUCUGAGAGGAUGAUCAGCCACACUGGAACUGAGACACGGUCCAGACUCCUACGGGAGGCAGCAGUGGGGAAUAUUGGACAAUGGGCGCAAGCCUGAUCCAGCCAUACCGCGUGGGUGAAGAAGGCCUUCGGGUUGUAAAGCCCUUUUGUUGGGAAAGAAAAGCAGCAGGUUAAUACCCCGCUGUUCUGACGGUACCCAAAGAAUAAGCACCGGCUAACUUCGUG